This is a long non-coding RNA of Xiphophorus hellerii (green swordtail), 362 nucleotides long. RefSeq lists it as uncharacterized. The record is from RefSeq and is a predicted model, not a curated record. NCBI's taxonomy places the organism in Eukaryota, Metazoa, Chordata, Actinopteri, Cyprinodontiformes, Poeciliidae. The transcript is spliced from 3 exons.
UUACUUUUGCAUUCCCUCACAGAAAUGUUCUUUUACGUUCCCUCGCAGUACUGUACUGAUCAGUUAAUGCGGCAUAAUUGAAUACUGUAAGCCUUUCUUACGAUGGCCGCCGUACUUUCUGCUUUAAUAUAAGGUUAUCAUCAGGUUUUUCCAUGAAUAGAGCAUCAAGGGAAUGAAUACAUUUUAUAGGCGCAGUCAGAUGGCACAAAGCUCCAACACUGCUUCAGCAAUACAGCAAAUCUUUAACUUAUAAAAAUAUCAUUUUUAAAUAAUUUUGUAGAUUUUUAUUGCUUCUGGGUUUAUUGCGUUGUUUGGGAACACGAACGCAUUUUGUUCUAAUCGUAGCAAUAAAGCCAUUUUUU